RNA transcript from Lycium ferocissimum, 2846 nucleotides. It is a transcript of the gene named mRNA export factor GLE1, with no coding region annotated. The record is from RefSeq and is a predicted model, not a curated record. The transcript has 16 exons. NCBI's taxonomy places the organism in Eukaryota, Viridiplantae, Streptophyta, Magnoliopsida, Solanales, Solanaceae.
CAGAUGAAUGGAGUGGGGUGAUCAAAUAGUGUAAAACCUUAAUACCCGAUUUCCUGUUGCCCGUUACACAAACUCAUCAUCACUUUCACCUUAGAGACCUUCCUUUCUCCCGCCCUUCAUCACAAAUUCAAUUUCUCAAAAUUCAUACCUCACCCUUAUUAUUUAUUCAACAUUCUCUUCAUCCAAUUAAUAAUAAAUACCUUAUCUAAUUUGUAUAGCAAUUGUUUCAAGAAACCGAGGCUGCAAAUUGAAUCAUCAAGAAUACUUCAAGGUUGAAGGUUUGCAGUAAUUAAUUAUAUUAUAUCUCAAGUUUGUGAAGCCAGCCAGCAUUGGAAACAAAUACUUUAUUUCUUAAAGCAGGAAAAAUAAUAAUGGGUGCUGUCAAACUGCAACUUCCAUUGCCGAAAAGUGUUGACGGAGUGACCCUGGAUCCAAAUCCUGAUUGGAGCUUUGAUGCUUUAUUGGUCGAGCUCAACUCAAUAGAGAAGAAGCUCAAUGCAUCAUCAAAAUUUCCAAUACCUUUUACCAAAACAGAAUUUCAACAACUCUCGGCUUCAAAGGAUAAUUCUCGGAGAGGCUUUGUUAUGCAAGUGUCUGAUGAUGAUGUGGAGGAUAUGGACGGAGAUACUAAGCAUGAAGUUGGUGAUCAUUUUCUUACGGGAGGAAAACGUUUUGCCUGUGACGAAAUCUAUCUGAGUGAUAGCGACCAAUCUGAAGAAGGCCUGCACAUUGAUCUUCAACGUGAUCUAAUGGAUAAAGUGGGAUUGGUGGAAAGUGGUUUAUCUGAGUUAGCUAAUGAGCAUCAGCGCACUAUUGCGGAGGAAAUGAGAGAUCAAUUAUCAGCACUUGAAGCUGAGUUGAUGGAUGAAAGUGAGAAGCUUGCCACCACACUAGAACGAGUUGAGAGAAAUACUGAAGCUCAAAGGGAAAUGAACCGAAAAUUUGACAUGCAGUACCAGCGUAAAAUCGCAGAAGCACUUGAUGAUCAUCUAACUGCCGUACAAAGGGAUCACGAACACAAAUCCCAAAUUGAAGAAAGGAAGAUAAGAGAUGAUGCAGCUCGUGAAGAGGCCAAAAGGAAAGAAAAAGCUCUUCAAGAAGAAAAAGCCCGGCAAGAAAGGAUCAGAGCAGAAGCCAAGGUGCAGGCUAGGCUGGAAGCUGAAAGAGUUGAAAAGGAAAAAGCCGCAGCACAGGAAGCUGAGAGGAAAGCAGCAAAAGAAUCUGCUGCUGCGGUGGAGAAGAAGACAUCUGAGUCAUUGGCAACUGCUCCUUCGGAGGGUAGCAAGAUUUCAAGGGAUUCUAGUCAGCCUGUGAGACCCAUGUCUGAUGGGCAGAGACAUUCAGCAGGAAAUACAAUCAGGGUGACAGAAAACGCUCAAAAGCUAGAGGAGAAAAGAUUAAGCAUUUACAAUGAAAUAGCUGCACAGAAUGAAGCACUGGGGUUGAGUUCAAACAAGGCUUACCGAAAAUAUGAAAUGGAAAUAGCCAGACGAAUCAGAACUAUCACUGGUUCAAAAGAAAAUGUCAGAGUGAAAGCAGAUGAAUUACUUAAGCUAAUUAGUGGAUCAACAUGUCCACAAUCCAUCAGCAUUGCAAUGUUCGCGCAGCAGGUGGUGUCCCUGUGUGUGAACCUUACAGGAAGCUUUAACAGUAAAGUCUAUGCUUAUGGCUGUGUAAUUGUCCAUGUUACAUCAAAGGUCCCUCGUGCCAUGGAUAUUCUCAUAGCUGAGUUGAACAAAGUUUGCAUUUACACAGUUCCUAAGUACAUUAUUUACUCAGAGGCAGCAUUCCAGACUAAAGAAGCUUAUUACAAAGCUAUUGGCUAUGCAGAGGAAGAUGGGAAGAUAGAAAAUACUGAUAGUUAUGUGAAUCGCUUAAGUGCAUACAUGAAAUUAUAUGGUGCUCUUGUUCAGGGAAAGGGACAUAGAGUUGAGCAUGACGAAUAUAAGUUGGGAACUUUUGUAUGCAUGAAUGGUGUAUCCUACUGGUUGAUAUUGAUUGUGAUUUGUGAUGGUGUGCAACAAAAAAAGCCCUAAGGGCUAAAGAUCUUUGUUAGGAGAAAAUGCAGAAUAAUGACUUUGAAGGGACUCAAAAGGUUGCACUGAAAGCUGAAGGACUUUCCCCUCAAUUAUAGAGCAUAUCCCAACUACUUCAUGUCUCUAAUGUUCACUGUUUAGAUCAGAGCAGUAGAGUUGGGUUAGAAAAGGAUUGCUAUGGAUCCCUCAGUUGACAAAGUGACUAUCAAGCUCCAAUAUUGGAGAUUGUGCUUGUGCUUCAUCCAAACAAGAGAGAGUUUCCAGGUGCAGAAGCAGCUUUCUGUUAGUUGGAGAAGUGCCUAUGGUGCUCUCGAUCCAGUAAGGGGCUUUGUAUGAUAGGAGUGCAAAAUAUAUUCGGGGUUAUAGCAGCAAAGCCACUAUCUCCUCAGGUCAAUUGAAUCCUCCAGUUAGACAAAAACAAUAUUCCAAAUGGUUUUAGUACUCAGUUCAGUAUCUGAAUCAUCAUCCACAUACUCAACCAACUUCAUCAGCAGAGCAGGAAACAUUCUGGACAAGAUGUCCUUUUUGCUAUAUGUACCAAUACUACAGGUUAUGAACAGAGAUGUACGCUGCCAGAAAUUAUCAAAGCCAUUUGAUUGUGCUUACCCAAACUAAUAUCUGUUAUUCCGUGUAUAGGACUUCUGUUACGGGAGUUCUUGGUGCAGCGCGGAGCUCCUUUCGCCUGAGACUGAAGUUGAGGGCUGCCAAAACUUGCAUGGCCUCAGAGAAGGUUGGGCAUGGAUAGCCAGAUUCUUAAAUGUUAUCCCUGCAAAUUUAUAUACUGCAGCUGCAUUGCAGGCUUUUCUUGAA